GAUGAACGCUGGCGGCGUGCUUAACACAUGCAAGUCGAACGAAGCACUUAAUGAGAUUUCUUCGGAUUGAUUAUUUUGUGACUGAGUGGCGGACGGGUGAGUAACGCGUGGGUAACCUGCCCCCAGACCGGGGGAUAACAGUCGGAAACGACUGCUAAUACCGCAUAAGCGCACAGUGCCGCAUGGCACGGUGUGAAAAACUCCGGUGGUCUGGGAUGGACCCGCGUCCGAUUAGUUAGUUGGUGGGGUAACGGCCCACCCAAGACUGCGAUCGGUAGCCGACCUGAGAGGGUGACCGGCCACAUUGGGACUGAGACACGGCCCAGACUCCUACGGGAGGCAGCAGUGGGGAAUAUUGCACAAUGGGGGAAACCCGUGAUGCAGCGACGCCGCGUGAGUGAAGAAGUAUUUCGGUAUGUAAAGCUCUAUCAGCAGGGAAGAAAAUGACGGUACCUGACUAAGAAGCCCCGGCUAACUACGUGCCAG
Molecule: ribosomal RNA, 486 nt
Filed under: uncultured bacterium
Lineage: Bacteria
Description: bacterial SSU rRNA
Rfam family: Bacterial small subunit ribosomal RNA
Source: RNAcentral